UGGGGAAUUUUGCACAAUGGGGGAAACCCUGAUGCAGCGACGCCGCGUGAUUUAGAAGGCCUUCGGGUUGUAAAAAUCUUUUUUACGGGAUGAAAAUGACAGUACCGUAAGAAUAAGGUCCGGCUAAAUACGUGCCAGCAGCCGCGGUAAUACGUAUGGACCGAGCGUUGUCCGGAAUCAUUGGGCGUAAAGGGUACGUAGGCGGCCUAGUAAGUUAGAAGUGAAAUAAUAUAGCUCAAAUAUAUAAAGCUUUUAAAACUGCUAGGCUUGAGAGAUGGAAUGGACAGUGGAAUUCCUAGUGUAGCGGUGAAAUGCGAAGAUAUUAGGAAGAAUACCGGUAGCGAAGGAGACUUUCUGGUCAUCAUCUGACGCUGAGGUACGAAAGCGUGGGUAGCAAACAGG
RNAcentral lists this ribosomal RNA (402 nucleotides) under bacterium. RNAcentral describes it as "partial 16S ribosomal RNA". It matches the Rfam family "Bacterial small subunit ribosomal RNA", at positions 355 to 776 of the family's 1533-position model. The record is from RNAcentral.